AGCUUUGCGCAGUGGCAGUAUCGUAGCCAAUGAGGCUCAUCUGAGGUGCGAUUAUUGCUAAUUGAAAGAUUGUAUAGAUGUAUUUACAGGAAUGUUUUCUCUAUAUGUUUAUUUUAUUGAUCCCAUAGAUGAAAAAAUGUUUCAAGCCCUUAAGGAAGA
Rattus norvegicus (Norway rat) is the source of this 159-nucleotide small nuclear RNA. Ensembl annotates it as U4 spliceosomal RNA. The record is from Ensembl. Lineage: Eukaryota; Metazoa; Chordata; Mammalia; Rodentia; Muridae.